Molecule: ribosomal RNA, 568 nt
Filed under: Haliclystus antarcticus
Lineage: Eukaryota; Metazoa; Cnidaria; Staurozoa; Stauromedusae; Haliclystidae
Description: partial 16S ribosomal RNA
Rfam family: Bacterial large subunit ribosomal RNA
Source: RNAcentral
ACCAAAAACAUAGCCCCUAGACCCCUAUUAGAGGUGACGCCUGCCCGAUGGUUUAUCCUAAGUUAAUCACCAUUAACGAACCUGAACUCAAUGGCCGCGGUAUUUCUGACCGUGAUAAUGUAGCGAAAUCAAUCGUCACUUAAUUGCUGACCCGUAUCAAAGGUAUUACGAAUGUUCCCCUGUCUCAAGAAAAACCCCUGUGAAAUUGAAGGGGCCGUGCAUAUGCGGCCUAAUCUCCUGUAAGACGAAAAGACCCUAUUGAGCUUUACUAUAACCUUUUCUCAAAACACUAAGGAAACGAGCAACCCUCUAACCUUAGUCUUAGGGAAGGCUGGUAGUUUCGUUGGGGCGACGACCUUUCAAAAAGUAACAAAGGUUAGCGAUGGUUUUCUAUUUAAUGAAUCUUAGCCUGACUGUUUGGCUUAUAAGCCUACCAGACACCUUCGUGAGCCAUAAUUUUCCAUUUUAAGGGAAACCUUAAAAUGCCAUAAUAUAAAAGUUACCAUAGGGAUAACAGCGUAAUUUUGUCGAAGAGCUCUUAUCGAUGACAAAGAUUGCGACCUCGAUG